Molecule: small nucleolar RNA, 73 nt
Organism: Zootoca vivipara (common lizard)
Lineage: Eukaryota; Metazoa; Chordata; Lepidosauria; Squamata; Lacertidae
Product: small nucleolar RNA SNORD47
Source: RefSeq, a predicted model, not a curated record
AACCAGUGAUGAUAAAAGAUUCCGCCAAAUGACUGCUCAUGAAAUUAACAACAUACCGUUCUAUACUGAGGUU